RNAcentral lists this transfer RNA (55 nucleotides) under Ovis aries (sheep). It matches the Rfam family "tRNA", at positions 10 to 63 of the family's 71-position model. From Rfam's summary of the family: Transfer RNA (tRNA) molecules are approximately 80 nucleotides in length. Their secondary structure includes four short double-helical elements and three loops (D, anti-codon, and T loops). Further hydrogen bonds mediate the characteristic L-shaped molecular structure. tRNAs have two regions of fundamental functional importance: the anti-codon, which is responsible for specific mRNA codon recognition, and the 3' end, to which the tRNAs corresponding amino acid is attached (by aminoacyl-tRNA synthetases). tRNAs cope with the degeneracy of the genetic code in two manners: having more than one tRNA (with a specific anti-codon) for a particular amino acid; and 'wobble' base-pairing, i.e. permitting non-standard base-pairing at the 3rd anti-codon position. Lineage: Eukaryota; Metazoa; Chordata; Mammalia; Artiodactyla; Bovidae. The record is from Rfam by way of RNAcentral.
UCUUAGUUGGUAAAGAAUCUGCCUGCAAUGCAGGAGACCUGGGUUUGAUUCCUGG